UAGCCUAAUUAAUAUAAUUAUUUUCAUAAAUAAAUUUUAAUAAAAUUAUUUAAUUUUAAUUUUGAACCAUGCCCAAUUUUGUCAGAGUUGGUCUAGCUUAGAUAAAGAACUUGACAAAACGAAUUUUUCCAAAAUUGAUUCCGCUAAUUUGGUAACCUUGUGGACAUCAACAAUUAGUAAAAAUUUCUACCUUGUCAACUGAUUUCACCCCCUCAGCACUUCACGCCAUUUUUAUGAUUUAUCAAUUUGUUUUGAAGUCCUCGUGCUUAUCGCCUCGUGCUGUAAAAAUAUAAAGAAAGUAUAAAAAAACAUUAGUAUGUCUCAUUGUUGUGUUAAAUCUUGUGGACACAAUAAAAAUAAAUAUUCGUGCCGCUAUCAUCGAUUCCCAAGUGAUCCAAAAACUUGCGCUGCGUGGGUUCAAGUAGUAGGAGAAGAAGAUUUUCUAUAUCUCAAUAACGAAAUAUUGCACAAGAAAAAAUAUGUAUGCAGUUGCCAUUUCGUUGAUGAAAAUUAUAGUUCAUCAUUAAAAAUGCAUUUGAAGUCUGCAGUUGUUCCAUCUAUUUUUAAUGAAAAGACGGUCUCUAUUAGUGACGAGGAUAUGAAGACAUUCUUAUCUCCGCAAAUGAUUGUUCCAACGACUUGUCAGUGUUAAAAAAUUAAAAAAAAUUUGGAAAAUCCAAAAGUGCACGCCUCGAACGCUCAUGUUAUGUUUUUUUUUAAAAGUUAAAUUUCGAAUAAAAUUGAAUAUCCCGCUCUUUUCCCAUAGAAAUUUUCAUGGUAAAUAUACGGUAAUAAAAGUAAAAAAAAAAAAAAUAAGGAGAACAUUCCUAAUGAAAAAUGGCGGCAGUGUGUGUUUGUUUACAUGUAAGAUAGCCGGUUUUAACCGUAAUGAUUUAUUUUAAAAAAAACGAGAAGGCCUACAGUAGUGAUUUUCGAAAGGAACCUUCUUUGCUUAUUUCUAAAAACUUUGAAAAAAAAAUUAAGUAGUUUCGUCAAGUCGUUCUCGAGAUAUCCGUACCACGCCGUUUUUUUGAACCACAGACUAAUGCGCGUCCACGAUAAAUUUUUUUUAAUGAACUUUUUUUUAUAUUAAUACAUAUUAGACAAAUUAAAAAAAGUAUCAGGAUUAUUUACUAGUGUUUCAGCUUUAUAUUGAUGUGCUUUUCAUAAUGUGUAAGAGUAAUAGAAAAAAAAUAUAUGCACUUUGAUGAGUGGAAAUCGUGUGACCUUGACAGCUGUUGUUACGCCAUUGAGUAAUAUCAAAAAUUUACACAUCGUGGAAUAUCAACCUGAAACUAAGAAAAGAAAAUCGACAGAUUUAUAUGCAACUGAGGAAAUUCCAAUAAAAAGAACACGUCAAUCAGUGAAAAUUGAGGAAGGAUCGAAGAAACGGGUCAUGAGGUGUACGGCAAUAAAUAGUAUGACAGAAUGUAAAUCCGUUAAUACAGUACAGAUCCUAAAAAGUAAGCAGCCACUUAUUUUGAAGCCAUGUUCACUAAUAAAAAUUUUGGAUGAAAAUUUGAAAGCUAUGAAUUUCUCAUCCGCGCAAGAAUUAAUUUUAAACAUAGAAUUGUUAUUAAAUAAUCAUAAAAAUCAAAUUAAGGUCAAGCAGUUGGAAGCUGCUAAUGCAGGAAAAAUUGAAGAGUUGAGCGCAAAAGCUAAGUAAUUGCAUUUCAAGAGUAGUAAUUGAUUAACAGCCACAAUUGAUUACGCAGCCACAGUUCCAGUUUAAAACUGGGUAUACAUUAUCAAAGAUUCUUGCGUUACAAUGUCAAUUUAUUGAUUGAUUUGUUUAAAUGUAAAAUAAUUUUUAGAAAUUGUUUAUAGACCGAAGUUUACGUUUCAAAAAAACGACGUUUAAAAGCUCAGAUUUUAAAGCUUAAACAAAAGCUAAAAUAAUAUAUCUAUGUUAUAAUGAAAAUGUUUUAAAAACUGAAAAUUUUGUAAUAUUUAUGUUCAGAGCUUAUAUCAGUACGAACCGAAAUGUACUAGUCAACUUCCUUAGUUUUUGUACUAUAAAAGAAAUUAUAAUAAUUUUAUUAAUACAUUUUAAGGUAAUGUGAUAAUUUUACAUUUAAAUGCCAAAAAUUAUUAAAGCAAUAAUUUAAGUAUAAAGUCUGAUUAUUUGUGAUAAUCUGAUAAUAAAUUAUAUUUUUAUAUUUAUAUACUCUAUAUUACGAGUUUAAAAAUGUUUUAAAAUGUGAU
Microplitis mediator is the source of this 2205-nucleotide RNA transcript. RefSeq lists it as uncharacterized. The record is from RefSeq and is a predicted model, not a curated record. Lineage: Eukaryota; Metazoa; Arthropoda; Insecta; Hymenoptera; Braconidae. The transcript is spliced from 4 exons.